This is a long non-coding RNA of Bos taurus (domestic cattle), 2411 nucleotides long. The record is from Ensembl. Lineage: Eukaryota; Metazoa; Chordata; Mammalia; Artiodactyla; Bovidae.
GGAAAUGGCAACCCACUCCAGUAUUCUUGCCUGGAGAAUCCCAUGGACAGAGGAGCCUGGUGGGCUGCAGUCCAUGGGGUCGCAAGGAGUCAGACAUGACUUAGCGACUAAACAACAGUGUGCAGGGUGACCUUUCUUGUCGAUAAGAAUUUGUAUCCAUCAAACAAAAAUGCUGCCUUAUGAGUUGCCCUCAAAAGUUACAUAUGUGAAGUUUACUCUAUCCCCUUUCAAUGGGUUGAAUCAUGCUCCCUAUCCCUGCCCGCAUAAUAUACUGAAGUUGUAGCCCCUAGUCCCUCAGAAUUUGUCUUUUUCUGGAAAUAGGAUGGCUGCAGAUCUGAUGAGUUAACAUGAAGUCAUACUAAAGCAGAACUGUGGCCAUGUGAAGACACAGGGAGAAGGCUGUGUGAUGAGACAGCCUCAAACCCAGGAGCCCGAGAGAUGGCCACCAAGCCACUGGCAGCCCAGAUGAGUCCCCUGUGGCUUCAGAGGGGUUACAGCCCUGUCUACUCCUGACUUCAGGGGUUGAGCCUCCACAGUUGUGAAGGAAUAAGUUCCUGCUAUUUCAAGUCACUCAGCGGCACUCUGUUACGGCUGCCCUAGGAAAUUAAUACAUCCCUUAUAUCCGAUGAAUAAAGACAUUUUUUGACGGGUUGUCUGUGUCCCUUCGGUGAAAGUUGAUGUUGAGGCUUUGGAUUCAUGGAAAUGUACCACCUGCUUCACUGUGUGGCACAUGUGGAAGUCAUCCUGAGAGAACCGGAAUAUUUUUACAUUUUGCUGCUUUGGAAUAAUUUACGCAUCCAGCUUCAUUCAAAAUAUGAAACAUUUGUACAUAGAGAUUGCAUGAAAAAUCAGAUACAACGCAGGACUUCCUUGAUACAGUGUUAAAGAUACAGUUUUUAAUGUUACUUAAGCCCAGAAUUCAGUUUAAAAUUGAAGUAGGUGUCAAAUGUGUAUAAGAGCGAUCUUACGAGUGUGAUGCUGACGCUGGAAGUGGAGAUAAAACAAGUUCAGCAAUGACAUCCUUCCUGUUGUGAAAAUAAGCAAGGGAGAACAAAUUAAAAGGGGGGUGCAAGCCGAUCAAGAGGGGUUGUUUGAGAUUCUGGAAUCAGUUUUGACCAUUUGAAUAUUGCCAACAAGGUACAGGGCAUCCAGAACAAGAGUGAAGACAGCUAGCUGGAGGGCAAGGUGGUCACUAGGGAGAAGACCGCUGCAGUCUUGUAUUUGACAAUCGAUUUUGCAUUCAAAUUGCCAUGUUCCAGUCCCCAGGAGCUACUAUACCGAAUUCACAUAAGAACGUGGAAACUGGCCGCAGAGUGAGCCCUUGGCUGUGUCUUUUCAUACACCUGUGUGUGUGUUGGGAGUGGCCAAUACAAAUAUACAUACCUCGUGUCAUACCUGGCUUUCAAGCUGGUGGUGGUUUAUAUUAAAGCACUGAAAUGCAGCAUCCUCUUUGCAAUCAGAAUUAUGAAAGCCUUUGCUAAGGACUGCAGUCAGAGACGGUUCUGUCAGGGGCUUUAGCCACAAAGCUACCUGUUCAUGGGACCUGUCCACUGGAAACUUACUGUCUCAGGGGACCACGAGUUUAUUCCAUGCAACCAGCCAUUACAUGAUAGGUGACAUAUUUAUGCAACUAAUGUGCCUUUUAAGGUAAAAAGGAUUAUUAUACAAUGUUUUGUUAGUUUGCUAGGGCUGCCAUAACAAAGUAUUGUAAACUGGGGGGCUUAAAUGACAGAAAUGUAUUAUCUCACAGUUCUGGAGGCUUAAAAAUCCAAUGUCAAGGUGUCAGCAGAGCUAGUCCCCUUUGAGGAUUGUGAGGGAAGGUUGUUCUAGGCCUCUCUCCUUGGCUUGUAGAUGGCCUUGUCAUCCCUGUAUCUCUUCGCAUCAUCAUUGCGUUGUGUUUUUCUUCGAAUCCAAACUUCCUCCUUGCACAAGGAGUCCAUAAGACACACCAGUCUUAUGGAUUGAGGCCCACCCUAAUGACCUCAUUGUAACUGGAUGGCUUCUGUAAAGAUUGUAUCUCCAAAUGAGGUCACACUCAAUCUUAAAACACUGGGGUUUAAGAUUUCAACACGAAUUUGGGAGGGGAGCUACACAAUUAAGUCCAUAACCAAUGUGGUUUUGGAUUGUGGAUUUUAGAUAAUAAGAAAGGGAGCCAAUUGGCCCUUUAAUAAGCCUCGCCUGUGUUUAUGAUGAAGCUAGGCUUUGACUGUCACAUGGGGCGUGAACAGGCCAGUACGAUCCCCAAAGGAUACCCUAUACCUAUUCAUCUGUUAUUCUCCCUUACCUCUCCACCCAUCCCCUGGUGACCGUUUAAUCUGUGUCCUAUGGCUGUGGAUCUACCUAUUCUGGACAGUUCAUAUAAACGGAAUCAUAUGAUAUGUGGCCAUCUGUGUCUGAUUUUUUCACUAAGC